RNAcentral lists this ribosomal RNA (465 nucleotides) under uncultured Klebsiella sp. Its description in RNAcentral is "bacterial SSU rRNA". It matches the Rfam family "Bacterial small subunit ribosomal RNA", at positions 338 to 795 of the family's 1533-position model. The record is from RNAcentral. Lineage: Bacteria; Pseudomonadati; Pseudomonadota; Gammaproteobacteria; Enterobacterales; Enterobacteriaceae.
CCUACGGGAGGCAGCAGUGGGGAAUAUUGCACAAUGGGCGCAAGCCUGAUGCAGCCAUGCCGCGUGUGUGAAGAAGGCCUUCGGGUUGUAAAGCACUUUCAGCGGGGAGGAAGGCGUUAAGGUUAAUAACCUUGUCGAUUGACGUUACCCGCAGAAGAAGCACCGGCUAACUCCGUGCCAGCAGCCGCGGUAAUACGGAGGGUGCAUGCGUUAAUCGGAAUUACUGGGCGUAAAGCGCACGCAGGCGGUCUGUCAAGUCGGAUGUGAAAUCCCCGGGCUCAACCUGGGAACUGCAUUCGAAACUGGCAGGCUAGAGUCUUGUAGAGGGGGGUAGAAUUCCAGGUGUAGCGGUGAAAUGCGUAGAGAUCUGGAGGAACACCGGUGGCGAAGGCGGCCCCCUGGACAAAGACUGACGCUCAGGUGCGAAAGCGUGGGGAGCAAACAGGAUUAGAUACCCGUGUAGUC